UACGAAGGGGGCUAGCGUUGCUCGGAAUCACUGGGCGUAAAGCGCACGUAGGCGGACUCUUAAGUCGGGGGUGAAAGCCCAGGGCUCAACCCUGGAACUGCCUUCGAUACUGGGAGUCUUGAGUGUGGAAGAGGUUGGUGGAACUGCGAGUGUAGAGGUGAAAUUCGUAGAUAUUCGCAAGAACACCAGUGGCGAAGGCGGCUGACUGGUCCGGUUCUGACGCUGAGGCGCGAAAGCGGGGGGAGCAAACAGG
This 253-nucleotide ribosomal RNA is filed under the name uncultured bacterium. RNAcentral describes it as "partial 16S ribosomal RNA". It matches the Rfam family "Bacterial small subunit ribosomal RNA", at positions 524 to 776 of the family's 1533-position model. The record is from RNAcentral.